This 430-nucleotide ribosomal RNA is filed under the name bacterium. RNAcentral describes it as "partial 16S ribosomal RNA". It matches the Rfam family "Bacterial small subunit ribosomal RNA", at positions 355 to 776 of the family's 1533-position model. The record is from RNAcentral.
UGGGGAAUAUUGGACAAUGGGCGGAAGCCUGAUCCAGCCAUGCCGCGUGUGUGAAGAAGGCCUUUUGGUUGUAAAGCACUUUAAGCGAGGAGGAGGCUACUUGGAUUAAUACUCUAGGAUAGUGGACGUUACUCGCAGAAUAAGCACCGGCUAACUCUGUGCCAGCAGCCGCGGUAAUACAGAGGGUGCGAGCGUUAAUCGGAUUUACUGGGCGUAAAGCGUGCGUAGGCGGCUUCUUAAGUCGGAUGUGAAAUCCCUGAGCUUAACUUAGGAAUUGCAUUCGAUACUGGGAAGCUAGAGUAUGGGAGAGGAUGGUAGAAUUCCAGGUGUAGCGGUGAAAUGCGUAGAGAUCUGGAGGAAGACCGAUGGCGAAGGCAGCCAUCUGGCCUAAUACUGACGCUGAGGUACGAAAGCAUGGGGAGCAAACAGG